RNAcentral lists this ribosomal RNA (502 nucleotides) under uncultured Acidobacteriota bacterium. Its description in RNAcentral is "bacterial SSU rRNA". It matches the Rfam family "Bacterial small subunit ribosomal RNA", at positions 38 to 572 of the family's 1533-position model. Lineage: Bacteria; Pseudomonadati; Acidobacteriota. The record is from RNAcentral.
GGCGGCGUGCCUAACACAUGCAAGUUGCACGAGAAAGGGGCUUCGGCCCUGAGUACAGUGGCGCACGGGUGAGUAACACGUGAAUAAUCUACCUCCGAGUGGGGAAUAACUGAGAGAAAUCUUAGCUAAUACCGCAUAACACUUACGAGUCAAAGCAGCAAUGCGCUUGGAGAGGAGUUCGCGGCCGAUUAGUUAGUUGGCGGGGUAAUGGCCCACCAAGACGAUGAUCGGUAUCCGGCCUGAGAGGGCGCACGGACACACUGGAACUGAAACACGGUCCAGACUCCUACGGGAGGCAGCAGUGGGGAAUUUUGCGCAAUGGGGGAAACCCUGACGCAGCAACGCCGCGUGGAGGAUGAAGUAUCUUGGUACGUAAACUCCUUUCGAUUGGGAAGAUAAUGACGGUACCAAUAGAAGAAGCCCCGGCUAACUUCGUGCCAGCAGCCGCGGUAAUACGAAGGGGGCAAGCGUUGUUCGGAUUUAUUGGGCGUAAAGGGUGCGU